CGUGAGCGAUCUACCCGACAGUGGGGGAUAACCCAGGGAAACCUGAGCUAAUACCGCAUGUUGCGCCGGCUUAGAAGCCGAGCGUUAAAGCGGGCCUCUCUUUGAAGCUCGUGCUGUCGGAUGGGCUCGCGGCCUAUCAGCUUGUUGGUGGGGUAACGGCCUACCAAGGCGAUGACGGGUAGCUGGCGUGAGAGCGCGACCAGUCACACUGGACUGAGACACGGCCCAG
Molecule: ribosomal RNA, 229 nt
Filed under: uncultured bacterium
Lineage: Bacteria
Description: partial 16S ribosomal RNA
Rfam family: Bacterial small subunit ribosomal RNA
Source: RNAcentral